This 583-nucleotide ribosomal RNA is filed under the name uncultured bacterium. RNAcentral's name for it is "partial 16S ribosomal RNA". It matches the Rfam family "Bacterial small subunit ribosomal RNA", at positions 355 to 1375 of the family's 1533-position model. The record is from RNAcentral.
UGGGGAAUUUUGGACAAUGGGCGAAAGCCUGAUCCAGCAAUGCCGCGUGUGUGAAGAAGGCCUUCGGGUUGUAAAGCACUUUUGUCCGGAAAGAAAUCCUUGGCUCUAAUACAGUCGGGGGAUGACGGUACCGGAAGAAUAAGCACCGGCUAACUACGUGCCAGCAGCCGCGGUAAUACGUAGGGUGCAAGCGUUAAUCGGAAUUACUGGGCGUAAAGCGUGCGCAGGCGGUUUGCUAAGACCGAUGUGAAAUCCCCGGGCUCAACCUGGGAACUGCAUUGGUGACUGGCAGGCUAGAGUAUGGCAGAGGGGGGUAGAAUUCCACGUGUAGCAGUGAAAUGCGUAGAGAUGUGGAGGAAUACCGAUGGCGAAGGCAGCCCCCUGGGCCAAUACUGACGCUCAUGCACGAAAGCGUGGGGAGCAAACAGGAUUAGAUACCCUGGUAGUCCACGCCCUAAACGAUGUCAACUAGUUGUUGGGAUUCAUUUCCUAGUAACGUAGCUAACGCGUGAAGUUGACCGCCUGGGGAGUACGGUCGCAAGAUUAAAACUUAAAGGAAUUGACGGGGUCAUAGCUGUUUCCU